Long non-coding RNA from Aethalodelphis obliquidens (Pacific white-sided dolphin), 741 nucleotides. RefSeq lists it as uncharacterized. Lineage: Eukaryota; Metazoa; Chordata; Mammalia; Artiodactyla; Delphinidae. The record is from RefSeq and is a predicted model, not a curated record. The transcript has 3 exons.
UCAGUACUAUUAAGUACAUUCACAUUGUUGUGCAACCAACCUCCAGAGCCCUUUUCAUCUUGCAAAAUUGAAUAUCUACACCCAUUAAAAAGCAGCUCUUCAUUCUUCCCUCCUCCCAGGUCCUGGCAACCACCAGAAGAAACCGACUACCAGAAACCAUUCUGCUUUCUGUCUCUAUGAAAAUGACUACUCUAAGUACCUUAUAUGAGUGGAAUCAUCCAUCCUUUCAACAGCCCUGUGAGGUAGAUACGAUUGCUGCCGUCUAAGAGGGCAGGAAACUGGGACACCGCAGUGAUUUGACAAAUGUUUCCAGGCCAGAGUUCAAAGCCUAGAGCACUAGUGUGAAGAUGUAGAGCUUGGAGUUGUAGCAGCCACUGCAUGACAAUGAGGUGACAAACCUAAGGACAAGAAGCCUAAAGGAUGUUAGAAAGAGGAUGUGUCUUGAUGACAGCAGAGAUCACUGAGCCCCAAAACCAGCUCCAGGACUGCGGACUUCCAGACUUCUUGUUACUGCAGAUAAACCAAGGUCUACAAGGCUUAAGCCACCGUUGCUCAGGAAUUCUGUUACUUGCAGCCAAAUAUAUCCUAACUGAAUUAUUCCCCAGCUGGGUUUUAAGUUCCUUGAAGCAGGGAUACUGUUUUAAAUUUCUUUGUAUCUGUCAUAAUACUAUGGAAGGUUUUCAUCCAUAGGGUAGGCACAAAUGUAUUGAAUUAAUACAUGAAUAGACAGAAGAAUAAAUA